This 1372-nucleotide ribosomal RNA is filed under the name Staphylococcus aureus. RNAcentral's name for it is "partial 23S ribosomal RNA". It matches the Rfam family "Bacterial large subunit ribosomal RNA", at positions 1551 to 2925 of the family's 2925-position model. The record is from RNAcentral. Lineage: Bacteria; Bacillati; Bacillota; Bacilli; Caryophanales; Staphylococcaceae.
UAAGGCUGAGCUGUGAUGGGGAGAAGACAUUGUGUCUUCGAGUCGUUGAUUUCACACUGCCGAGAAAAGCCUCUAGAUAGAAAAUAGGUGCCCGUACCGCAAACCGACACAGGUAGUCAAGAUGAGAAUUCUAAGGUGAGCGAGCGAACUCUCGUUAAGGAACUCGGCAAAAUGACCCCGUAACUUCGGGAGAAGGGGUGCUCUUUAGGGUUAACGCCCAGAAGAGCCGCAGUGAAUAGGCCCAAGCGACUGUUUAUCAAAAACACAGGUCUCUGCUAAACCGUAAGGUGAUGUAUAGGGGCUGACGCCUGCCCGGUGCUGGAAGGUUAAGAGGAGUGGUUAGCUUCUGCGAAGCUACGAAUCGAAGCCCCAGUAAACGGCGGCCGUAACUAUAACGGUCCUAAGGUAGCGAAAUUCCUUGUCGGGUAAGUUCCGACCCGCACGAAAGGCGUAACGAUUUGGGCACUGUCUCAACGAGAGACUCGGUGAAAUCAUAGUACCUGUGAAGAUGCAGGUUACCCGCGACAGGACGGAAAGACCCCGUGGAGCUUUACUGUAGCCUGAUAUUGAAAUUCGGCACAGCUUGUACAGGAUAGGUAGGAGCCUUUGAAACGUGAGCGCUAGCUUACGUGGAGGCGCUGGUGGGAUACUACCCUAGCUGUGUUGGCUUUCUAACCCGCACCACUUAUCGUGGUGGGAGACAGUGUCAGGCGGGCAGUUUGACUGGGGCGGUCGCCUCCUAAAAGGUAACGGAGGCGCUCAAAGGUUCCCUCAGAAUGGUUGGAAAUCAUUCAUAGAGUGUAAAGGCAUAAGGGAGCUUGACUGCGAGACCUACAAGUCGAGCAGGGUCGAAAGACGGACUUAGUGAUCCGGUGGUUCCGCAUGGAAGGGCCAUCGCUCAACGGAUAAAAGCUACCCCGGGGAUAACAGGCUUAUCUCCCCCAAGAGUUCACAUCGACGGGGAGGUUUGGCACCUCGAUGUCGGCUCAUCGCAUCCUGGGGCUGUAGUCGGUCCCAAGGGUUGGGCUGUUCGCCCAUUAAAGCGGUACGCGAGCUGGGUUCAGAACGUCGUGAGACAGUUCGGUCCCUAUCCGUCGUGGGCGUAGGAAAUUUGAGAGGAGCUGUCCUUAGUACGAGAGGACCGGGAUGGACAUACCUCUGGUGUACCAGUUGUCGUGCCAACGGCAUAGCUGGGUAGCUAUGUGUGGACGGGAUAAGUGCUGAAAGCAUCUAAGCAUGAAGCCCCCCUCAAGAUGAGAUUUCCCAACUUCGGUUAUAAGAUCCCUCAAAGAUGAUGAGGUUAAUAGGUUCGAGGUGGAAGCAUGGUGACAUGUGGAGCUGACGAAUACUAAUCGAUCGAAGACUUAAUCAA